RNAcentral lists this ribosomal RNA (1999 nucleotides) under human metagenome. Its description in RNAcentral is "bacterial LSU rRNA". It matches the Rfam family "Bacterial large subunit ribosomal RNA", at positions 3 to 2086 of the family's 2925-position model. The record is from RNAcentral.
UCAAGCUAGAAAGAGCGCAAGGGGAAUGCCUUGGCAUCGAGAGCCGAAGAAGGACGUGACAAGCUGCGAUAAGUCUGGGGGAGCCGCACAUAGGCUUUGAUCCCGGAAUUUCCGAAUGGGGAAACCCGGCAGAGCAAUACUCUGUCAGCGUGCGUUGAACAAAAUAGGCGUACGCGGGGAACCGCCUGAACUGAAACAUCUAAGUAGGGCGAGGAAGAGAAAUCAACCGAGAUUCCGCAAGUAGUGGCGAGCGAACGCGGAAGAGGGCAAACCAGAGGAUUUAUCCUCUGGGGUUGUGGACUUGCACACGUGAGACUAGGUUAGCUGAAUGGUAUGGGAAGGCCAUCCACAGAGGGUGAGAGACCCGUAAGCGAAAACCGAAGUCUUACAGCGAGGAUCCAGAGUACCGCCGGACACGUGAAACCCGGUGGGAAGCUGGGGGGACCACCCUCCAACCCUAAAUACUACCUGAUGACCGAUAGAGGAGCAGUACCGUGAGGGAAAGGUGAAAAGGACCCCGGGAGGGGAGUGAAAGAGAACCUGAAACCUUGUGCUUACAAGCACUCAAAGCACGUUAAAGUGUGAUGAGGUACUUUUUGUAGAACGGUCCGGCGAGUUAUUGUACGUAGCGAGCUUAAGGUGUUCAGCACCGGAGGCGAAGCGAGAGCGAGUCUGAAUAGGGCGAUAUAGUUGCGUGCAAUAGACCCGAAACCAGGUGACCUAUCCAUGGGCAGGUUGAAGUGGGGGUAAAACCCCAUGGAGGACCGAACGCACGCCCGUUGCAAUGGUCGGCGAUGACCUGUGGAUAGCGGUGAAAUUCCAAUCGAACUCGGAGAUAGCUGGUUCUCCCCGAAAUAGCUUUAGGGCUAGCGUUGAUUUAGAUUACCGGAGGUAAAGCACUGAAUGGGCUAGGGGCUGAUAAAGUUACUGAACCCUAUCAAACUCUGAAUGCCGGAUAAUUGAUGAUCAGCAGUCAGUCUACGUGAGAUAAGUCUCGUGGACAAAAGGGAAACAGCCCAGACCCACAGCUAAGGUCCCAAAGAUACGCUAAGUGGAAAACGAUGUGGAGUUGCGAAAACAACCAGGAUGUUGGCUUAGAAGCAGCCACUCAUUAAAAGAGUGCGUAAUAGCUCACUGGUCGAGUGACUCUGCGCGGAAAAUAUAACGGGGCUAAGCGUAACACCGAAGCUUGGGCUGCACAGCAAUGUGCGGGGUAGGGGAGCGUCGAAUAUGGGGUGAAGUCGCAGCGGAAGCAGCGGUGGACUGUAUUCGAGUGAGAAUGCCGGAAUGAGUAGCGAGAAUUAUGUGGGAAUCAUAAUGGCCGAAAAUCUAAGGUUUCUUGGGGAAGGUUCGUCCGCCCAAGGUAAGCCGGGAGCUAAGGCGAGGCCGCAAGGCGUAGUCGAUGCACAUACGGUUGAAAUUCCGUAGCCACCGAAACUUAAACCAGAAGGACACUUGGAGCUAUCCGAACCCGGGCGUUGGUUGACCCGGGCGUAAGGGACCGAAAUUAAGUAGGGAAGUCGGAGAAUAACGAGGCGAGAAAAGUUCUGGCGUAUGCUAAGGUGCCCGUACCGCAAACCGACACAGGUAGAUGAGGAGAGAAUCCUAAGGCCAACGGGAGAAGGGUUGUUAAGGAACUCGGCAAAAUUACCCCGUAACUUCGGGAUAAGGGGAGCCCCCUACGGGGGGCCGCAGAGAAUAGGCCCAAGCGACUGUUUACCAAAAACACAGGUCUAUGCUAAAUCGAAAGAUGACGUAUAUGGGCUGACGCCUGCCCGGUGCUGGAAGGUUAAGAGGAGAGCUUAGCGCAAGCGAAGGUUUGAAUUGAAGCCCCAGUAAACGGCGGCCGUAACUAUAACGGUCCUAAGGUAGCGAAAUUCCUUGUCAGGUAAGUUCUGACCCGCACGAAUGGCGUAACGAUUUGGGCGCUGUCUCAACAGCCCACCCGGCGAAAUUGUAGUACUGGUGAAGAUGCCAGUUACCCGCAACUAGACGGAAA